This 460-nucleotide ribosomal RNA is filed under the name uncultured bacterium. Its description in RNAcentral is "partial 16S ribosomal RNA". It matches the Rfam family "Bacterial small subunit ribosomal RNA", at positions 338 to 795 of the family's 1533-position model. The record is from RNAcentral.
CCUACGGGAGGCUGCAGUGAGGAAUAUUGGUCAAUGGGCUUACGCCUGAACCAGCCAAGUCGCGUGAGGGAAGACUGCCCUAUGGGUUGUAAACCUCUUUUGUCAGGGAGUAAUUUGCGCUACGUGUAGCGUUAUCGAGAUUACCUGAAAAAAAAGCAUCGGCAAACUCCGUCCCAGCACCGUAGGUAAUAGGGAGAUUGGGGGGUUUAUCGGAUUUGAUUGGGUUUAAGGGUGAGUAAGUCGAAAUGUCAAUUAAGCGGUAAAAUUGCUGGGCUCACCCUCACACUGCCGUUGAAACUGGCAGUCUUGAGUGGGGUAGAGGUAUGCGGAAUGCGUGGUGUAGCGGUGAAAUGCAUAGAUAUCACGCAGAACUCCGAUUGCGAAGGCAGCAUACCGGCGCCCAACUGACGCUGAAGCACGAAAGCGUGGGUAUCGAACAGGAUUAGAUACCCUGGUAGUC